GCCAGGCACAGUGGGCAUGCUUAUAGUCCCAGCUACUCCAGAGACCAAGGCAGGAGAAUCACUUGUGUCCAGUAACAGGCUGUAGUACACUGUGCUGAUAGAGUGUCUGCACUAAGUUUGCAGGUGUUCUCCGGAGCUGGGGAUCAAUAUCGUAAUUGCCAGGGAGUAGGGAACCAUCAGGUCACCUAGGGAGGGAUGAACUGGCCCAGGUUGUAAGUGGAGCAGAUUAAAACUCCCUUACUAAUCAGUGGUGAGAUGGUAGCCAUGAAUAGCCACUGUAAUUGAGUCUGGGGAACAUAGUGAGACCCUGUCUUU
Molecule: signal recognition particle RNA, 315 nt
Filed under: Colobus angolensis palliatus
Lineage: Eukaryota; Metazoa; Chordata; Mammalia; Primates; Cercopithecidae
Description: Metazoan signal recognition particle RNA (ENSCANG00000000314.1)
Rfam family: Metazoan signal recognition particle RNA
About the family: The signal recognition particle (SRP) is a universally conserved ribonucleoprotein. It is involved in the co-translational targeting of proteins to membranes.
Source: RNAcentral